Molecule: ribosomal RNA, 525 nt
Filed under: uncultured bacterium
Lineage: Bacteria
Description: bacterial SSU rRNA
Rfam family: Bacterial small subunit ribosomal RNA
Source: RNAcentral
AGGGUUCGAUUAUGGCUCAGGAUGAACGCUAGCGGCAGGCUUAACACAUGCAAGUCGAGGGGUAACAGGGAUUGCUUGCAAUCCGCUGACGACCGGCGCACGGGUGAGUAACGCGUAUGCAACCUACCUUUUACUGGGGGAUAGUCAAGAGAAAUUUUGAAUAAUACCCCAUACGAUCUGAUUCACUCCUGUGAAACAGAAGAAAAUUUCGGUGGUAAAAGAUGGGCAUGCGUCCUAUUAGUUUGUUGGUGAGGUAACGGCUCACCAAGACUACGAUAGGUAGGGGUCCUGAGAGGGAGACCCCCCACACUGGUACUGAGACACGGACCAGACUCCUACGGGAGGCAGCAGUGAGGAAUAUUGGGCAAUGGAGGAAACUCUGAUCCAGCCAUGCCGCGUGCAGGAAGACGGCCCUAUGGGUUGUAAACUGCUUUUAUACAGGAAGAAACGUUAGUACGUGUACUAGCCUGACGGUACUGUAAGAAUAAGGAUCGGCUAACUCCGUGCCAGCAGCCGCGGUAAUAC